RNAcentral lists this ribosomal RNA (903 nucleotides) under uncultured delta proteobacterium. RNAcentral describes it as "bacterial SSU rRNA". It matches the Rfam family "Bacterial small subunit ribosomal RNA", at positions 28 to 898 of the family's 1533-position model. Lineage: Bacteria; Deltaproteobacteria. The record is from RNAcentral.
AACGAACGCUGGCGGCGUUGCCUAACACAUCGCAAGUUCGAACGGGAAUUUUGAGAAGCUUCGCUUCUUAAAUUUUAGUUGGCGCACGGGUGAGUAACGCGUAGAUAAUCUGCCUGAUGAUCUGGGAUAACACUUCGAAAGAGGUGCUAAUACCGGAUAAGCCCACGGAGUCUUUGGAUUCUGCGGGAAAAGGGGGGGACCUUCGGGCCUUCUGUCAUCAGAUGAGUCUGCGUACCAUUAGCUAGUUGGUAGGGUAAUGGCCUACCAAGGCUACGAUGGUUAGCUGGUCUGAGAGGAUGAUCAGCCACACUGGAACUGAGACACGGUCCAGACUCCUACGGGAGGCAGCAGUGGGGGAAUUUUGCGCAAUGGGCGAAAGCCUGACGCAGCAACGCCGCGUGAGUGAUGAAGCUUUCGGGUCGUAAAGCUCUGUCGAGGGGAAAGAAAUGUAUUGUGGCUAAUACCCGCGAUACUUGACGGUACCCUAAAGGAAGCACCGGCUAACUCCGUGCCAGCAGCCGCGGUAAUACGGGGGUGCAAGCGUUGUUCGGAAUUAUUGGGCGUAAAGCGCGUGUAGGCGGUCUGAUUAGUCUGAUGUGAAAGCCCUGGGCUCAACCCAGGAAGUGCAUUGGAUACUGUCAGACUUGAAUACGGGAGAGGGUAGUGGAAUUCCUAGUGUAGGAGUGAAAUCCGUAGAUAUUAGGAGGAACACCGGUGGCGAAGGCGGCUACCUGGACCGAUAUUGACGCUGAGACGCGAAAGCGUGGGUAGCAGACAGGAUUAGAUACCCUGGUAGUCCCACGCCGUAAACGAUGAGUACUAGGUGUUGCGGGUAUUGACCCCUGCAGUGCCGCAGCUAACGCAUUAAGUACUCCGCCUGGGAAGUACGGUCGCAAGACUAAA